RNAcentral lists this ribosomal RNA (283 nucleotides) under uncultured bacterium. RNAcentral's name for it is "partial 16S ribosomal RNA". It matches the Rfam family "Bacterial small subunit ribosomal RNA", at positions 28 to 301 of the family's 1533-position model. The record is from RNAcentral.
GACGAACGCUGGCGGCGUGCCUAAUACAUGCAAGUCGAGCGAAUCUUGAGGUGCUUGCACCUCUUGGUUAGCGGCGGACGGGUGAGUAACACGUGGGCAACCUGCCUGUAAGACUGGGAUAACACCGGGAAACCGGUGCUAAUACCGGAUAAUCCUUUUCCUCUCAUGAGGAGAAGCUGAAAGUCGGUUUACGCUGACACUUACAGAUGGGCCCGCGGCNCAUUAGCUAGUUGGUGAGGUAACGGCUCACCAAGGCAACGAUGCGUAGCCGACCUGAGAGGGU